Molecule: ribosomal RNA, 253 nt
Filed under: uncultured bacterium
Lineage: Bacteria
Description: partial 16S ribosomal RNA
Rfam family: Bacterial small subunit ribosomal RNA
Source: RNAcentral
UACGGAGGAUCCAAGCGUUAUCCGGAAUCAUUGGGUUUAAAGGGUCCGUAGGCGGUUUUGUAAGUCAGUGGUGAAAGCCCAUCGCUCAACGGUGGAACGGCCAUUGAUACUGCAAGACUUGAAUUACUAGGAAGUAACUAGAAUAUGUAGUGUAGCGGUGAAAUGCUUAGAUAUUACAUAGAAUACCAAUUGCGAAGGCAGGUUACUACUAGUGGAUUGACGCUGAUGGACGAAAGCGUGGGGAGCGAACAGG